UCUUGGAUUAUUGAAGACUAACUACUGCGAAAGCAUUUGCCAAGGAUGUUUUCCCNUNUAAGAACGAAAGUUAGGGGAUCGAAGACGAUCAGAUACCCCUUNUANAUCUUAACCAUAAACUAUGCCGACUAGGGAUCGGAUGAUGUUAAUUUUUUAAUGACUCA
RNAcentral lists this ribosomal RNA (164 nucleotides) under uncultured Glomeromycotina. RNAcentral's name for it is "partial 18S ribosomal RNA". It matches the Rfam family "Eukaryotic small subunit ribosomal RNA", at positions 918 to 1078 of the family's 1831-position model. Lineage: Eukaryota; Fungi; Glomeromycota. The record is from RNAcentral.